This 403-nucleotide ribosomal RNA is filed under the name Verrucomicrobiota bacterium. RNAcentral describes it as "Verrucomicrobia bacterium partial 16S ribosomal RNA". It matches the Rfam family "Bacterial small subunit ribosomal RNA", at positions 355 to 776 of the family's 1533-position model. The record is from RNAcentral. Lineage: Bacteria; Pseudomonadati; Verrucomicrobiota. RNAcentral also lists the same sequence under 1 other name.
UGGGGAAUAUUGCACAAUGGGGGAAACCCUGAUGCAGCGACGCCGCGUGAGCGAAGAAGGUUUUCGAAUCGUAAAGCUCUGUCCUAUGGGAAGAUAAUGACGGUACCAUAGGAGGAAGCCCCGGCUAACUGCGUGCCAGCAGCCGCGGUAAUACGUAGGGGGCAAGCGUUGUCCGGAAUCACUGGGCGUAAAGGGUUCGCAGGCGGAAAUGCAAGUCAGUUGUGAAAGGCAGAGGCUCAACCUCUGUAAGCAAUUGAAACUGUAUUUCUUGAGAUGUGGAGAGGCAAGUGGAAUUCCUAGUGUAGCGGUGAAAUGCGUAGAUAUUAGGAAGAAUACCGGUGGCGAAGGCGACUUGCUGGACACAAACUGACGCUGAGGAACGAAAGCGUGGGUAGCAAACAGG